Molecule: ribosomal RNA, 379 nt
Filed under: uncultured Eubacteriales bacterium
Lineage: Bacteria; Bacillati; Bacillota; Clostridia; Eubacteriales
Description: bacterial SSU rRNA
Rfam family: Bacterial small subunit ribosomal RNA
Source: RNAcentral
AGAUGGAUUCGUGCUCGAAAGAGAGCCAUAACACAGGUGCUGCAUGGCUGUCGUCAGCUCGUGUCGUGAGAUGUUGGGUUAAGUCCCGCAACGAGCGCAACCCUUGUCUUUAGUUGCCAUCAUUAAGUUGGGCACUCUAAAGAGACUGCCGAUGACAAAUCGGAGGAAGGUGGGGAUGACGUCAAAUCAUCAUGCCCUUUAUGUCCUGGGCUACACACGUGCUACAAUGGUCGGUACAACGAGAAGCAAGCCAGCGAUGGCAAGCAAAUCUCUAAAAGCCGAUCCCAGUUCGGAUUGCAGGCUGCAACUCGCCUGCAUGAAGUCGGAGUUGCUAGUAAUCGCGGAUCAGAAUGCCGCGGUGAAUGCGUUCCCGGGUCUU